RNAcentral lists this ribosomal RNA (255 nucleotides) under uncultured bacterium. Its description in RNAcentral is "partial 16S ribosomal RNA". It matches the Rfam family "Bacterial small subunit ribosomal RNA", at positions 524 to 777 of the family's 1533-position model. The record is from RNAcentral.
UACAGAGGGGGCAAGCGUUGUUCGGAAUUACUGGGCGUAAAGGGCGCGUAGGCGGCCUUCUAAGUCGAACGUGAAAUCCCCGGGCUCAACCCGGGAACUGCGUCCGAUACUGGAAGGCUUGAAUCCGGGAGAGGGAUGUGGAAUUCCAGGUGUAGCGGUGAAAUGCGUAGAUAUCUGGGAGGAACACGGUGGCGAAGGCGAACAUCCUGGACCGGUAUUGACGCUGAGGCGCGAAAGCCAGGGGAGCAAAGCGGG